Molecule: long non-coding RNA, 1331 nt
Filed under: Heterocephalus glaber (naked mole-rat)
Lineage: Eukaryota; Metazoa; Chordata; Mammalia; Rodentia; Bathyergidae
Description: lncRNA (ENSHGLG00000047805.1)
Source: RNAcentral
AUCACUGUUAUUUAAGAUAGGUAAUUUCACUGGAAAGUGAAAUCUGUGUGAAAACUUCAACAAGGAUCACAUAAAUCUCUUGCUACAUAGAGAAAUCUGCAGGCUUAGCAAGGGAUGAGCUCUCAGCUAGAAAUAUGAGCACAAAUAUGAAUUGUUGGGGUUCUUUUAAGAAAAUAGAAGGAUAAAUGCUGCUGAGAACUUUGAAGAUUCAGAAUGAAUGUGAAUACCAGCCUGUUCGAUGGACAUUUUCCUCACACUAGCCAGUUGUAAAGCCCUGGAGAAAAUCUGAGCUGCUUUCUGAAAAUUGUCUAUGUCCUGUCACUUCAAGUAAGGAGAUUCUGUUUCAAAGCCAUUACUGUGAGGAAGCCCAUACUAAUCCAUACAGAGAGGCUGCAUGGAGAGGCCACUUGGGAAGGAAUAGAGGCCUGCAGCUGAAGGUCAUGAUAAACUCCCAGAUGUUGAAAAAGACACACAUCACACAUGGAGAUCACAUCUUUGGAGCCAAGGCAAUUGGAGUCUGGUAAAACCAAGAAGCAAAAUGUCCAUGAAAAAUAAGAGAAUGAGAUUCAUUAACUUAGGUUGAUUUCCUUAAGAGAUUGUGACCUGGAGAUUUGCUGCAGGGAGUUUAUUGGGAAGAACACUCUGGAGCAACACCAUUAAAGGAUUAAAACACCAGGAAUGAACCCUCUCAUCAUGUGUAGACACAGAGAGAUGGAAGUCAUCUGCAAGCAAAGGAAUGAAGACCCUCAAAACCAAACCUACCAACAUCAUGAACUUGGAUAUUUAGCCUUCAGAACUUUGAAAAGAUAGAGUUAUUUAAACAUCUUAGUGAGAAAUAUUUUUAUGGAAGUCUUAGCAAAUUAAUGGAGUCAGUUUUCUCAAGAGGCUUAUGUUUUAGAGAGUUUUAGCUUCAGGGAAAAAUUGAGCAAAAUAUAGAGAAGGAAUAUUUUCCACAGUGCCUCUACACAUGCGUAGCUUCCUACGUUAUUAACAAUCACCAACAGAAUGGUACAUUUGUUAUAAUUGUUGAAGUUUUGUGACACAUAAUUAUUAUCCAAAGUCCAUGUUAUACAGAGGGUUCAUAGUUGGUGUUGAAUAUUUCCUGGAUUAAAAAAAUGUGUAAUGUAUUUAUUUACCUUUAUAGUACUAUACAAAUAGUUUCACUGGUGAAAAGAAAAAUCUUCUAUGCUCUAUUAGUCCUUCUCCAUAACCCCUGAAACCACUGGUCUUUUUAUUAUCUCCACAUAUUUUUAUUUUUCAGAAUUUUUGAGCAGUUGAAGUCAAACUAUCUAAAAGGAUUUGAAUUUGGCUUUUGCCACAUAGUAAUGUAC